GGAAGCUAUCUUCGGCGCAUGCGUACAUUAAUUACCUAGUCGGCAGUCCCUUCUAGGUAAUAGUCUGGUCGGCAGUCCCUUCCAGACUACAUCCCGAUCGGCAUUCCCUUCCGGUGUGACAUGAGGUAGUUAGUUGGUAGUCCCUUCUAACUACCUGUGGUUAGUUGGCAGUCCCUUCUAACCACCGCCUCCUAUAUCCGGUCGGCAGUCCCUUCCGAUGCGUCAUCUGGGCG
RNAcentral lists this long non-coding RNA (233 nucleotides) under Rosa chinensis. RNAcentral describes it as "sRNA RchiOBHm_Chr6g0255291". Lineage: Eukaryota; Viridiplantae; Streptophyta; Magnoliopsida; Rosales; Rosaceae. The record is from RNAcentral.